GUCUGACUUCUCAAGAACUACAUGCUCUUCGAUUCUAGGAAACAAAGGAAAGAGCAAGAGGCUGUGGAAAAUCAAACUCUGCAGCAAACUCCUGCUCAAGGCAGGGAUGCACGUAGUGUUUGUUAGAAGAAGGUGGGGGGGAAUCUGUUUAUCCAGAGACUCCUGCACGGUUGACAAUCCAAAUGCACUUUUGAAGGCUCUGUCCUCAGUUUCACCACUGCCAACAACAGGAAGCCUUGUAUUUCAGCAAUUGCUUUGUCAUUUAUCAAUUGGAAGAAGAGACUGGGAACUCCCUCUGGAAGAAUUACACGGUUUUGCAGAAAAUCUGUGAAGUUUGAACAAGCGGCCUUCCCAAGAUGCACCGAAUAUCUCAGCUGAUGUCGACACCAGUCACGAGUAAAUGCAAGAGAAGUGCUACAUGCAAUUAUCUUUUGAAUGAUUAGAUGCCUUUUAGCAAUUUCCUUGCUUUGAUUUCGCUGAUACUCAGACCAUUAACCAUCUGUCAGUAGCUUGUGCUUCUUAAAUGCCAAUGUGCGCCUCAGCAAUGAUUUUGACUUCAUUUCUUUCCUUGAGAGAAAUGUGGUAUUUUUCCUCGUAGCAGAAAACAUCCC
This 611-nucleotide long non-coding RNA is filed under the name Fukomys damarensis (Damara mole-rat). RNAcentral's name for it is "lncRNA (ENSFDAG00000031727.1)". Lineage: Eukaryota; Metazoa; Chordata; Mammalia; Rodentia; Bathyergidae. The record is from RNAcentral.